Molecule: long non-coding RNA, 735 nt
Organism: Hippopotamus amphibius kiboko
Lineage: Eukaryota; Metazoa; Chordata; Mammalia; Artiodactyla; Hippopotamidae
Exons: 3
Source: RefSeq, a predicted model, not a curated record
UUAAAAAUGUAAACUUCACAGCUAAUCUGAGAAGCUUUAAUUUGAUAACGUUUCUGAGUCUUUAUGAGGUGUCAAGGUUCUACCCAAGUCUGGAAGAAAAUAUGUACAACACACACAUAUGUUGACAUACGUGGACAAAAUGAGGAUUACAAUGGAUCUCAAGGCAGCAUCCUGACUGGUGAUGUUUUCAUGGGAUGCUGUCCAGCUGUCUGUCUGAUAGAGGUGAGCUCAGGAAUCGGACCCACUUGCACUGCAAUCCUGAUGCGUCAGCUUAAGCUUUGUGACCUGAGCAGGUUGGACGCCGUCCCCGGUGUUUGAUUUACGAAUCUGUAACACCUGGAAGAAGAUGCCGCCCGUCGGGAGAUGAUUCUCCACGGGUCUCUGUUUACAGGAAAUAGAAGAGUAGACUAUGAAUAGAUUAUGAAAAGAAAAACGGGAGAUCAUUCUCGCUGAGAGGUACAAGCUGGCUCGUAGGGCUCACAACACAGGACUCACCGCGCUGCGCUCUCGGUGGGAGAUUCUGCCGAAAGCCUCACAAAUACUGUGGGGGUCUCUUCUGCUUCUGGUUCCUAUCUGAAGCUCGGACAGACUCCUCCUAACUUCUAUGACCUCAUCCUUGCCUGCUGGACCUCUGCCAGUAUUGGGUAUUGAUCAUAUGUGACAAUACGACCCCUAUAAGAGUUUACAAUGUUUAAAAAUUCUUACCAGAGCUUCUUGUAAAAAUUUCACAGGGAA